Molecule: long non-coding RNA, 667 nt
Organism: Triticum dicoccoides
Lineage: Eukaryota; Viridiplantae; Streptophyta; Magnoliopsida; Poales; Poaceae
Exons: 2
Source: RefSeq, a predicted model, not a curated record
UCACGGAUCUUUGGGCAGAUCGGACGGUUAGCAUCAACUGCGAAUUAGCUAAGCUUGCUCGGCUUCGUCUUCCACCACUGCUCGCCGCCGCCGACGACGAGGUACGCAAACCCUAGCCGCCGUCGAGCUCCGCGAGGCGAUGGCGAUGGCGAUGGCGAUCAGCGCACCACCCCUCCCUACGCUGCGUGUUCCUGGGAUGGCGACUCGACAUCUGGUCGUCUUCCGCCGCCUGAUCGACGAUCAGGAGAAAUGUUUCAACAAAGAAUAUCUUGGGCUCCAUUACCUGAUGAGAUCUUGUGUCAUGUUUUACAACUUCCAAGUUCUUAUGAGCGACUGAAUUUUGAUCUGGUGAAACUUUGUGCAUUCGUCUUGGUUAACUUUCGCGAGCUAAGCUGCUACGUAACGCUGCAUACCAAUAGAACACUCCUACACUCACAAUAAGUUGUUUUAGCUCACACAUCACCAAUUGCUAGUACUAGUUCGUUCCUGAGUUGAUUUAGAUAUAGAAAGUUCGGCAUGGUGCACUUUGAAAUCUAUGUGUAUAUUGCAACUUUGGUCGUGGUGCACUUUGGAAUCUCAUGUGUUUGAGUGGUUAUGUCUGCAAAGCCACAUGCACCAUCUUUUUAAUGAAUGAAAGUCAUUUGUUGGAUGCCCGGUCAUACACUUA